UUUGGUUAUUUUUGUAAUUACGAAUUUAAUAUUUCAGAUAUUAGUAUUUUAUUUUAAAUAGAAUUCUAAAAGAGAAGAGAGAGAGAGUAUUUAAGGGAGGAAUCUAUUGUGAAAAAGGGGGGAUUUGGAUUGGAGAAAAACAAAGAAACCCUAGAUCUUAAUUUUUCUCUUCUCUCUAUGAAGAACUAAACCUAUUUUUCUGGUUGAAGGAUAAUGAAGCUUUGAUUCAUCACUACUGUGAGAUCUUUCUUGUGCUUUAAUUGUUUUAUUGUUUUUUGGGUAUUUGUUUAUUCUCUGAAUUAUUUUCAUGAUUAUGUUUGUUAAUUAGGUAAUUGGCCACUAUUUAAUUAUCAACUUAAUCUAUUGUCAAUUAAAGGAUUCAUCGUAUGAAGAAUUUAAUGUUUGUGACAAAUAACAUAGCAGAGAGUUGUGUUGUGAGAAUAAACAAUCUAAUUUAAAUGAAUCAUCAUAUGUGUUGAUUAGGAUUUGGGUUUCUCUGGUUUUUCAGGCUGUCAAUUGAUUAAAUCCUAUGAUCGUAUCUAGGGUUGUCUAUUGAUUAGGGAAAUAACCAAUGGUCGUACCUUGGUUAUCGACUAGUUAAGGAGAGAUUGGCUAUUAGAGGGUCUCAGUAGCUAUAACCGGUCUAUUCAUAAGUAAUAAUAAUCUAUAUUUGAAUCAAUGAUCAGUAGUCGAAUCAAGCUGAGUUAAUUCCUUCAACCAGAGCUUUCUCCAAUUUGAAUCACAACUUUAAUUUACAUUCUCGUUAUUUUAAUUUGAUUUUUAUUAUUGUCAACAAUUCCCCCAUUUUACGUUUUACGUUUUAAAAGGAUUUAAAUAAUUACCGAUCUCUGUGGACACGACCCUGCUCAAUCACUAUACACAAUUUAUUUAGAGUAGGAAUUUAUUUUUGUUGGCUUCGACACCCAUCAAAUUUUGGCGCCGUUGCCGGGGAUUGGUGUCAUUUAUUUAAUCCUUUUUACGUUUUACUUGGUGUAUGGUUCUUUCUUCUUGUACAGGUACACUUUCGUUUGAUCCUGAAAUUGAGAAGACAGCUCGCCAGCUGAGACAGCAGACAAAGCGAGCUAAGCAACGAUCCUCGUCGCCUUUGCUUUCUGAAACAGAUACGGUGCCUGAUUUAGUUGAAUCAUCUAGCGAUUCAGAAGAACAAGUGAUGGAUAGAGCUGCACCUGUAGAAAGAACUCUUAGAGAGUUAGCUGAACCAGACUUGAAUCAACAACCACUCUGCAUUCAAUAUGUAGACUUGGAGGUAAAUUUUGAAUUAAAGUCUGGUCUUAUUCAUUUAUUACCCAAGUUUCAUGGUUUUGCAGGUGAAGAUCCUCAUAAACAUCUUAAGGAGUUUCAUGUUGUGUGUUCAAGUAUGAGACCACAAGGCGUGACUGAAGAGCAGAUUAAGCUGCGUGCUUUUCCGUUCUCUGUAGAUGGGCUAGCUAAAGACUGGUUGUAUUACUUGCCUCCUGGAUCGAUUACAACGUGGAAUGAUUUGAAGAAGCAGUUCCUCGAGAAGUACUUUCCUGCUUCAAGAGCUGCCAACAUCAGAAAAGACAUUUGUGGGAUCAGACAACUUCCUGGGGAGACUUUGUAUGAGUAUUGGGAGCGAUUCAAACAAUUGUGUGCCAGUUGUCCUCAGCAUCAGAUUUCUGAUCAACUUCUUAUUCAAUAUUUUUACGAAGGACUAUCAUUGAUGGAUAGGAGUAUGAUAGAUGCUGCUAGUGGAGGUGUGUUAGUGAACAAGACCCCUACUCAAGCAAGGGAGUUGAUAUCAAAUAUGGCUGCCAACGCACAACAAUUUGGCAGCAGGCAAGAUCCUACUUCAAGGAAGGUGAAUGAGGUAAAUAUUUCUUCUGUUGAACAACGUUUAAAUAAACUUACUUCUCUUGUGGAAAAGUUUGUUGUAGGCAAUGUGCAACAGGUGAAGACUUGUGGCAUUUGUUACAAUAUGGGUCAUUCAACUGAUAUGUGUCCUACACUUCAAGAAGAACCCGUUGAACAAGCCAAUGCAGUUGGAGGAUUUCCAGGCAUGCCUCAAAGGAGGUAUGAUCCUUAUGCACAAACAUACAAUCCGGGAUGGAAGGAUCAUCCCAACUUCAGCUAUGGAGUUAGGCCGUCAGGAUUCCCACAACAGUAUCCACCAAGACAACCAGCACCUCCACAGUUAAACUCCAAGUCAGGUAUAUCUCUUGAAGAAAUUGUUAAAUCACUUGCGACUAACACUCAACAGGCAACUACAGCAAGCAUUCAGAACUUGGAGAACCAAAUGAGUCAAUUGGCGACUACAGUGAGCCGUCUGGAGUCUCAAGUAUUAGAGAGAUUGCCUUCACAAUCUGAGGUGAAUCCAAAGCAAAACGUUAGUGCUGUCAUCCUUAGAAGUAGGAAGGAGUCGCAAGAGCCUAGUAAGAAAGUGACAAAGCAUGUAGAAGAUGAGCUUGAGAAGAAUGAAUUGAUGCCUAAAUUUCAAGAUGCGCAACCCACCAGAGCGAAACCCCUACCUACUGUGAUACCUCCUCCUUUUCCAAGCCGGUUUGCAAAAUCCAAGAAGGAGGAACAAGAGAAAGACAUCCUUGAGACAUUUCGCAAGGUUGAGGUAAAUAAUCCUUUAUUAGAUGCUAUAAAACAAAUACCUCGAUAUGCUAAAGUCCUUAAGGAACUGUGCACCUCCAAGAGAAAAUUAAGAGGAGAUGAAAAAGUUCACAUGGGGGAGAAUGUUUCAGCAGUUCUCCAAAAGAAACUACCUCCUAAGUGCAAGGAUCCAGGUAUGUUUACUAUCCCUUGUAAAAUUGGUAGUGUUAGAAUUGAAAAGGCUUUGUUAGAUCUAGGAGCUUCUAUUAAUGUCAUGCCUCGUUCCAUUUAUUCAUCUUUGAAUGUUGGUCCAUUAAAAGAAACUGGCGUGAUAAUUCAACUAGCUGAUAGGUCUAAUGCAUAUCCUGACGGGGUAUUAGAAGAUGUCUUAGUACAAGUUAAUGAGUUGGUUUUUCCUGCUGAUUUUUAUGUACUUGAUAUGGAAGAUGAUAACUCCUCUAAUUCUGUCCCAAUUUUGCUAGGAAGACCUUUUCUUAAGACUGCUAGGACUAAAAUGGAUGUACAUAAAGGGACUCUCACUAUGGAGUUUGAUGGAGAGGUUAUAGAAUUCAAUAUGAAUGAUGCCAUGAAAUAUCCUAGUGAGGAACAUUCGGUAUUUUCUGUGGAUGUUAUUAACCCUAUAGUGCAGGAAGUUUUUUACAAGGAAAAGACGAAGACAUUUCAUGAUACAAUGAUUUUGAGAAAGGAGUUCUCUGUUGGUAAAAACGUUCUUCUUUUUCAUUCUAAGCUUAAACUUUUUCCGGGUAAAUUACGUUCUUGUUGGGUUGGACCUUUUAUUGUUACUAAUAUUUUUCCUCAUGGUGCAGUUGAGAUUCGGAGUCCGACCUCUGACAAAGUUUUUAAGGUUAAUGGUCAUCGCUUAAAAUCUUUUUAUGAAGGUUUUUCGGUGAAUAUUAUGGAGGAUGUGGCUCUCGAGAGUCCCAAUUAUGGAGAUUGAUGCAUAAAUGUGUCUAGCCAAAGACAUAAAAGAAAGGCGCUUUUUGGGAGGCAACCCAAAUGAUUUGUUUAUUUUGGUUUUUGUUUUAUCUUCUUUUAGUUUUGAUUCAGAUUUAAAAAAAAAAAAAAAUUUGUGUUUGCUUAUUUUGGUCAGAAGAAAUUUUUUGAUAAGGCGUGCCCACGUUUUAACUAAUAAGUACUUCUGUAAUUUUUCAAGAAAAAUAGUUUUAAGACGUGCCCACGUGCUUAUUAAAAAAGUACUUCUGUAAUUUUUAAAGUAAAAUAGUUUUAAGGCGUGCCCACGUGCUUAUUAAAAAAGUACUUCUGAAAUUUUUGGUGUCUCAAAGUGAUUCAUCACUAAAAAAAAAAAAAAAAAAAAUUUACUGUUCACAAAAUCCCUAAUUUUCCAAAUCUUGUUUUCUUCUCCAGCCGCUUGCAGCACACCAGCAGCAAACCAGCCCGCCAGAAAACGCACCACCCCGCGCGCGCAGCACCAGCAUCCCGUGUCUCGCAAGUCCAACCAGCGCGCAACGCAAGCCCCAGCAGCGCAGCGCGCAACGUAAGCCCCAGCUGCGCGCGCAGCACGAACCAGCCCCAGCCCGAGCACGCAACCCAACAAGCGUCACCAGCGCAGCACCAGCAAUCCCCCAGCGCGCAGCAACAGCCGCAGCACGCAGAUCCAGCGUCACCAGUUCGUAGCAUCAGUCCCAGCCCACACGCGCAACACAACCAGCACCAACCCGCGAAGCACAACCAUCCGCGCGCAACUGAACCAACAGUCGUGUAUCCGCAAGCUCCAGUCGAGCAAUAAUAGUCCGCAACCAGCCUACAACCUGCAUUCCAGCCGCGUGAAUCAAAAUCCGUGACAAGAUGGAGCAUAAUUUGGCCGCAUACUUCGAGAGUGUGGGUUUUACCCCACCAUUUCCUCCAAGCCCAUAGACGUUAUGUGGAUCAAAGCUCACAAUUCAGGGAAGUUUCUUUUUGCCCUUAAUCUUUUAUCCUUACGCUUUAAUUUUUAUAUGAGCUUUAAUUAUCUUACAUUGGGGACAAUGUAAGUUCUUGGUGUGGGGGAGGGAUUUUUGCAUUAUUGAUGUCUGGAAGUAUUAUUUUCACUCUACUCAUCUAUUUUCAUUCUACUCAUCCUUAAAUGAUUUUGGAGUUAGUAUGCUUCAUAUAUUAUUAUUUUUCUUUUCUUUUCUUUCUCACUACUUUUUUCCCAUCUAUCUCAAAUUAUUUACAUCUAUUUUUAUUCUAUCAUACUCUUUCAUCACUCACAUUUUAUCUUUCACUUUUCAUAUUACUACAUACAUCUUUCUCACUUCUUAUCAUUUUUACCUUUCCUUCACUCAUACCUUCUUCCCAUUCUACACCACUAUUGAUGGUUGAUUCAUUUGAAGAGUGUACAUGAUUUGAUGGCAAAUUUACCAACUUUGUGAGGAUUUGAGCCUAUGAGCAACCACUUUGCUCUAAUUAUUUUUAUUAUGUGAAUAUCAAUCUUAGUUUGUUUAUUCUAGAACUUGCUUUGUUAUGCAUGUUGAAGCCACAUUACGGGAUUUUUUGCAUUAAAAUGAUAAGGGCAAACCAUUUACCAUUUUUCUAUUCUCGCAUUUUCUUUUUUUUUCUCUACCCGAAGACCUUGAUUUACUAUCUUUGUUUGAGCCUUAACCAUUACCCAUCUAAUUCUCUCCGUCUACUUAACCAUUUUUCUUCUUUUUGAGCCUCAAUUUAAGGAGAUUUUUGGACUCAUUGUGUGGAUAUAUUUUGUAUAUAUUUUGUUGCUUUUUCUACCUUGUAUUAAAGUUUCUCAAUUAGAUCAACAAGCAUUAUGCUUGAAUUAAAUUGUGCAAGGUUCAUUUCUUUUGUUUGAUUCAAAAAAAAAGGAAAAAGAAAAAAAAAGAAAAAGAAAAAUAAAAAAAAAUCAAAAAAAAAAUCAAAAAAAAAGAGAAAAAGAAGAAAAAAAAAAUGUUUACAUUCGUGGUGACUUGAGUAGAAAUAAGCAUUUUGAUAUCAUAAGUUCAUUCAAUGAGUUCAUUCUUCUCAUUUUGAUCUCUUUUUCUUUCAUAGACCUUUCUUUUUCAUUUAACCUAUUUAACCCCAUUACAACCCUUUUAAGACCCUUAGAUUUUUGCAUUUUAUUCAUGUUUUGUGGAUUGAGAUGUGAUAUAUGAGCAAGCUUAUGGUAAUAGCAUUCUUUGAUUUGAUUUGAGUGCAUAGAUGAUACCCUAAACACUUUGAGUGCAUGGAGUGAAGUCAUUGAGAGGGCUAUUAAAUCUUGUUGCACUUGAAUUUUGAAUGGAUCUUCUUGGUGGUUAAAUGUUCUUAUUCUAUCUUAUGAGAUUCUAUGCUUUAAAAGUCCUUGUCUCUCGAAUGUUGAUCGACUUAAUUUCUUGAGGUAUGCUUGCUUAAAAUUAUUUUUGGAUGAGUUGAGAUGAGAAUUGAGUGGAGAUUUGGGAUUAAUCUUGAGUUAUAUGCUUGAGGACAAGCAUCAUCUUGGUGUGGGGGAAUUUGUUAGAGUGCAAUUUAUGCACUAGUUUUGCAUUGUUUACUUCCCUUAAUAUCGAUGUUUUGCACUUAAUAAUAAUGUUUUACUUGUGUUUUACUUUUGUAGGUGCAAUUCUAUUGAUUGGUGAUAAAAUUGAGCUAAAAGAUGAUGUUUAAGGAGGAUUGUUCUCUUGGAGAAAUUAUGAGCGUCAGAAGAACUUUGUUGAUAAGGCGUGGGCGCGUGCUGUCAACUGCGGACCUGCAGUUUUUAGUUUAACGUGUUUUGUAUUUUUGGUUAUUUUUGUAAUUACGAAUUUAAUAUUUCAGAUAUUAGUAUUUUAUUUUAAAUAGAAUUCUAAAAGAGAAGAGAGAGAGAGUAUUUAAGGGAGGAAUCUAUUGUGAAAAAGGGGGGAUUUGGAUUGGAGAAAAACAAAGAAACCCUAGAUCUUAAUUUUUCUCUUCUCUCUAUGAAGAACUAAACCUAUUUUUCUGGUUGAAGGAUAAUGAAGCUUUGAUUCAUCACUACUGUGAGAUCUUUCUUGUGCUUUAAUUGUUUUAUUGUUUUUUGGGUAUUUGUUUAUUCUCUGAAUUAUUUUCAUGAUUAUGUUUGUUAAUUAGGUAAUUGGCCACUAUUUAAUUAUCAACUUAAUCUAUUGUCAAUUAAAGGAUUCAUCGUAUGAAGAAUUUAAUGUUUGUGACAAAUAACAUAGCAGAGAGUUGUGUUGUGAGAAUAAACAAUCUAAUUUAAAUGAAUCAUCAUAUGUGUUGAUUAGGAUUUGGGUUUCUCUGGUUUUUCAGGCUGUCAAUUGAUUAAAUCCUAUGAUCGUAUCUAGGGUUGUCUAUUGAUUAGGGAAAUAACCAACGGUCGUACCUUGGUUAUCGACUAGUUAAGGAGAGAUUGGCUAUUAGAGGGUCUCAGUAGCUAUAACCGGUCUAUUCAUAAGUAAUAAUAAUCUAUAUUUGAAUCAAUGAUCAGUAGUCGAAUCAAGCUGAGUUAAUUCCUUCAACCAGAGCUUUCUCCAAUUUGAAUCACAACUUUAAUUUACAUUCUCGUUAUUUUAAUUUGAUUUUUAUUAUUGUCAACAAUUCCCCCAUUUUACGUUUUACGUUUUAAAAGGAUUUAAAUAAUUACCGAUCUCUGUGGACACGACCCUGCUCAAUCACUAUACACAAUUUAUUUAGAGUAGGAAUUUAUUUUUGUUGGCUUCGACACCCAUCACCUUCUAUAAUGAUAGCAAGUAUUGAUAUGCUUACUCCGAUCAAGCUGAUUUUUACAGUAUCAUGUUCCUCUCGUCAAGCUCUUCGAUUUGAUAUGCUACAUUGUGGAGACUUGAUUACUAGCUCUAGUACAAUUUUAUUGAGAAUUCUGAAAAAUCAAACACUUUUGUAUCAUUAAAACUCAACACUCAUACAACUCUCAAAGCUCGAAACUCACUCCAAUACAACUUAGAUUUUUCUUCUUAUUGUAAUACUAAAAACAAGUGAUCAAGAAGCUAUUUAUACUAGCUUAUGAUCAAUCCACACCACACAUAUAAACAAAGCCAAUUAUUUCAUAGCCAUACAUUUGUUCCACUAACAAAACAUAAGCCUAACUCAAUCCAUUCAAGCAUACCUAACUUAUUCCACUAACAAUAAUUCACACACCUAACAUGGUAAACAGUUUACUUCCACAACAAUUUUUCUUGUUUUGUUAUUAUUAAUCCACACCAUGGACAGCAAUUUGCGACUUCAUGUCGUUCUCACCACUAAGCUUUCUUUAGAUAGAAAGACUGUAUACAAAAGUAAGCAAAUAAAUAAAAUUAAGCAUCUUGUCCAUCUUGAUCAAUUUUUUUUGUAUAUAUACAAUUUUAUUUUUC
Molecule: long non-coding RNA, 7871 nt
Filed under: Citrus x clementina
Lineage: Eukaryota; Viridiplantae; Streptophyta; Magnoliopsida; Sapindales; Rutaceae
Description: Citrus clementina (C. clementina) long non-coding RNA (CCLE_LNC002887)
Source: RNAcentral